AUGGAGACUUCUGGCAGCUCCGGGAGGCUCAAAUCACUGGAGGCUGGCAAAGGAAACAUGCUCAGUAAAUGUCACACCAUGCUGGUGCCGAUCCAGCUUCCCCGGGCAUCAGGGGCAGGAUCUUGGGUGAGACGGACCUUUGCUCCGCUCUGGUACUUCCAUCCUUGCGAUUGCCCUAUUGCAAUAUCAGAGUGCAGCUGGGCCUGGCUCUCACCCGUGUGGUUCUCUGCAGCCCGCUGGGCAACUCAGCCCUCCCUCUGCUGCAGCAGCCCCGGUGCCCGYGGCUGCCCGGGAAACCUGCUGCCCCAGCUUGCCUGCGGCCCGUGGUCCCCCAGCGGAGAGACGCACCGAGCAUCAGGCAGCGCGUGCUGCCUGCAGGCUAGGGAAGGGCACGACCUGGCAGCCAGCCGGCUGCACACCUGCGUCACCGGGGCCUGCCAAGUGCAGGUGCGAAGGAGGAMCCCGCUGCGGCAAAACCCCUCCAGCAGGUCCCGGGCAGCUUUGCCGACGGUCUCCUCUUGGCUCUCAUCCUUGAGCUUCUGGGGGCAGGAGAGGAGCCGGGCCGGAGGGGAAGCCGCAGCAGAGCCGAGCCAGGCUCGCGGCAGGGAGCAGGGCUCACUGGACCCCUGCGGGUUCGGGGGGGACCAGACGGCUGCGGGUACUGCAGGGCAGUGGAUCGGGGCGCGUCCGUCACCGAGGUGCCCCAGGGCCUCGCCGGGCUGGGUGGGAGCCGCGGCCACUCGCCGGGGUGAGUCACACUGGUCCCAGCCCGGGUUCGUCCUUUGGGAACCUGCRGCCUCGCUCCGUGCCUCAGUUUCCCCCGCUGAGGCGGGGGGACGACGCCAGCGCCCUUCCUGCACRGCCGACGGUAAUGAGGGGUUUGUGCUGGGCGCCCGCUCAGCUCGCAGCUCGGGUUUCCGCCGGGAGAAACUCCCCGCGAGCCUCGAGGAAAAGCCCCAAGCAGAGCUUUUUCCGAGGCUCAGGCGCCCUGGCAGCGCGCGGGCCCGGCAGGCGGACGGCGUCGGGGCUGGGAGCAGCACGGGCGCGCGGGCGUGA
This 1056-nucleotide long non-coding RNA is filed under the name Apteryx haastii (Great spotted kiwi). Its description in RNAcentral is "lncRNA (ENSAHAG00000015520.1)". The record is from RNAcentral. Lineage: Eukaryota; Metazoa; Chordata; Aves; Apterygiformes; Apterygidae.